RNAcentral lists this ribosomal RNA (2903 nucleotides) under Escherichia coli DEC1E. RNAcentral describes it as "23S ribosomal RNA". Lineage: Bacteria; Pseudomonadati; Pseudomonadota; Gammaproteobacteria; Enterobacterales; Enterobacteriaceae. The record is from RNAcentral.
AAGGUUAAGCCUCACGGUUCAUUAGUACCGGUUAGCUCAACGCAUCGCUGCGCUUACACACCCGGCCUAUCAACGUCGUCGUCUUCAACGUUCCUUCAGGACCCUUAAAGGGUCAGGGAGAACUCAUCUCGGGGCAAGUUUCGUGCUUAGAUGCUUUCAGCACUUAUCUCUUCCGCAUUUAGCUACCGGGCAGUGCCAUUGGCAUGACAACCCGAACACCAGUGAUGCGUCCACUCCGGUCCUCUCGUACUAGGAGCAGCCCCCCUCAGUUCUCCAGCGCCCACGGCAGAUAGGGACCGAACUGUCUCACGACGUUCUAAACCCAGCUCGCGUACCACUUUAAAUGGCGAACAGCCAUACCCUUGGGACCUACUUCAGCCCCAGGAUGUGAUGAGCCGACAUCGAGGUGCCAAACACCGCCGUCGAUAUGAACUCUUGGGCGGUAUCAGCCUGUUAUCCCCGGAGUACCUUUUAUCCGUUGAGCGAUGGCCCUUCCAUUCAGAACCACCGGAUCACUAUGACCUGCUUUCGCACCUGCUCGCGCCGUCACGCUCGCAGUCAAGCUGGCUUAUGCCAUUGCACUAACCUCCUGAUGUCCGACCAGGAUUAGCCAACCUUCGUGCUCCUCCGUUACUCUUUAGGAGGAGACCGCCCCAGUCAAACUACCCACCAGACACUGUCCGCAACCCGGAUUACGGGCCAACGUUAGAACAUCAAACAUUAAAGGGUGGUAUUUCAAGGUCGGCUCCAUGCAGACUGGCGUCCACACUUCAAAGCCUCCCACCUAUCCUACACAUCAAGGCUCAAUGUUCAGUGUCAAGCUAUAGUAAAGGUUCACGGGGUCUUUCCGUCUUGCCGCGGGUACACUGCAUCUUCACAGCGAGUUCAAUUUCACUGAGUCUCGGGUGGAGACAGCCUGGCCAUCAUUACGCCAUUCGUGCAGGUCGGAACUUACCCGACAAGGAAUUUCGCUACCUUAGGACCGUUAUAGUUACGGCCGCCGUUUACCGGGGCUUCGAUCAAGAGCUUCGCGUUGCCGCUAACCCCAUCAAUUAACCUUCCGGCACCGGGCAGGCGUCACACCGUAUACGUCCACUUUCGUGUUUGCACAGUGCUGUGUUUUUAAUAAACAGUUGCAGCCAGCUGGUAUCUUCGACUGAUUUCAGCUCCACGAGCAAGUCGCUUCACCUACAUAUCAGCGUGCCUUCUCCCGAAGUUACGGCACCAUUUUGCCUAGUUCCUUCACCCGAGUUCUCUCAAGCGCCUUGGUAUUCUCUACCUGACCACCUGUGUCGGUUUGGGGUACGAUUUGAUGUUACCUGAUGCUUAGAGGCUUUUCCUGGAAGCAGGGCAUUUGUCACUUCAGCACCGUAGUGCCUCGUCAUCACGCCUCAGCCUUGGUUUUCCGGAUUUGCCUGGAAAACCAGCCUACACGCUUAAACCGGGACAACCGUCGCCCGGCCAACAUAGCCUUCUCCGUCCCCCCUUCGCAGUAACACCAAGUACAGGAAUAUUAACCUGUUUCCCAUCGACUACGCCUUUCGGCCUCGCCUUAGGGGUCGACUCACCCUGCCCCGAUUAACGUUGGACAGGAACCCUUGGUCUUCCGGCGAGCGGGCUUUUCACCCGCUUUAUCGUUACUUAUGUCAGCAUUCGCACUUCUGAUACCUCCAGCAACCCUCACAGGCCACCUUCACAGGCUUACAGAACGCUCCCCUACCCAACAACACAUAGUGUCGCUGCCGCAGCUUCGGUGCAUGGUUUAGCCCCGUUACAUCUUCCGCGCAGGCCGACUCGACCAGUGAGCUAUUACGCUUUCUUUAAAUGAUGGCUGCUUCUAAGCCAACAUCCUGGCUGUCUGGGCCUUCCCACAUCGUUUCCCACUUAACCAUGACUUUGGGACCUUAGCUGGCGGUCUGGGUUGUUUCCCUCUUCACGACGGACGUUAGCACCCGCCGUGUGUCUCCCGUGAUAACAUUCUCCGGUAUUCGCAGUUUUGCAUCGGGUUGGUAAGUCGGGAUGACCCCCUUGCCGAAACAGUGCUCUACCCCCGGAGAUGAAUUCACGAGGCGCUACCUAAAUAGCUUUCGGGGAGAACCAGCUAUCUCCCGGUUUGAUUGGCCUUUCACCCCCAGCCACAAGUCAUCCGCUAAUUUUUCAACAUUAGUCGGUUCGGUCCUCCAGUUAGUGUUACCCAACCUUCAACCUGCCCAUGGCUAGAUCACCGGGUUUCGGGUCUAUACCCUGCAACUUAACGCCCAGUUAAGACUCGGUUUCCCUUCGGCUCCCCUAUUCGGUUAACCUUGCUACAGAAUAUAAGUCGCUGACCCAUUAUACAAAAGGUACGCAGUCACCCCAUUAAGAGGCUCCCACUGCUUGUACGUACACGGUUUCAGGUUCUUUUUCACUCCCCUCGCCGGGGUUCUUUUCGCCUUUCCCUCACGGUACUGGUUCACUAUCGGUCAGUCAGGAGUAUUUAGCCUUGGAGGAUGGUCCCCCCAUAUUCAGACAGGAUACCACGUGUCCCGCCCUACUCAUCGAGCUCACAAUAUGUGCAUUUUUGUGUACGGGGCUGUCACCCUGUAUCGCACGCCUUUCCAGACGCUUCCACUAACACACACACUGAUUCAGGCUCUGGGCUCCUCCCCGUUCGCUCGCUGCUACUGGGGGAAUCUCGGUUGAUUUCUUUUCCUCGGGGUACUUAGAUGUUUCAGUUCCCCCGGUUCGCCUCAUUAACCUAUGGAUUCAGUUAAUGAUAGUGUGACGAAUCACACUGGGUUUCCCCAUUCGGAAAUCGCCGGUUAUAACGGUUCAUAUCACCUCACCGACGCUUAUCGCAGAUUAGCACGUCCUUCAUCGCCUCUGACUGCCAGGGCAUCCACCGUGUACGCUUAGUCGCUUAA